Molecule: unclassified non-coding RNA, 19 nt
Filed under: Chlamydomonas reinhardtii
Lineage: Eukaryota; Viridiplantae; Chlorophyta; Chlorophyceae; Chlamydomonadales; Chlamydomonadaceae
Description: small RNA Cre_3468
Source: RNAcentral
UGGUGCGGUCCGCCUCUGG